UACGUAGGGGGCAAGCGUUGUCCGGAAUUAUUGGGCGUAAAGCGCGCGUAGGUGGCCCCAUAAGUCCGCUGUGAAAGUCAAAGGCUCAACCUUUGAAAGCCGGUGGAUACUGUGGGACUAGAGUACGGAAGAGGCGAGUGGAAUUCCUGGUGUAGCGGUGGAAUGCGCAGAUAUCGUAAGGAAGACCAGUGGCGAAGGCGGGUCUCUGGACAGUUCCUGACGCUGAGGCACGAAGGUCAGGGGAGCAAACGGG
Molecule: ribosomal RNA, 253 nt
Filed under: uncultured bacterium
Lineage: Bacteria
Description: partial 16S ribosomal RNA
Rfam family: Bacterial small subunit ribosomal RNA
Source: RNAcentral